Molecule: long non-coding RNA, 539 nt
Filed under: Coffea arabica (coffee)
Lineage: Eukaryota; Viridiplantae; Streptophyta; Magnoliopsida; Gentianales; Rubiaceae
Description: long non-coding RNA (CARA_LNC001983)
Source: RNAcentral
GAGGAAAUAGGCAAUCAAACUUUGCACCGAAUAGGCAGCAAGGAUAUCAACAGCAGUACCAAUCUCGCCCGCCACCACCUCCUCUAAACUCAGGCCCAUCUUUAGAAGAAAUGAUGAAACAAUUAAUUGUUAGUCAACAAAAGACGGAAUCUAACUUACAAAAUAUAAGGAAUCAAAUGGGUUAGAUGCAAGUAAUGCAGAGUCAGAUGAGUCAUAUGGCAAUAGCAAUCAACCGCUUGGAAUCCCAAGUUCAUGAAAAGUUGUUGUCUCAACCUGAACUGAACCCAAAGAACGUAAGUGCAAUAACCUUAAGGAGCGAGAAGAAAAUUCAGGGACCCGAACUCGCGACUCCAAAGGACAAGGAUGAAAAAAAAUUGAGAAAACACUUGAGGAGGAGGAGGAUAAGGGCAGCAAAAAGUCAGUAGUUCUCCUUGACCCAAUCAUUGAGAUUAGAACUAACUUAUCGCCUUUUUCGAGCAGGUUAGAGAAACCAAAGAAGCAAGUUAAGGAAAAGGAGAUUCUAAAGGUGUUUCGAAAGG